Molecule: ribosomal RNA, 207 nt
Filed under: uncultured bacterium
Lineage: Bacteria
Description: partial 16S ribosomal RNA
Rfam family: Bacterial small subunit ribosomal RNA
Source: RNAcentral
CACGUAGGCGGCUAUUCAAGUCAGAGGUGAAAGCCCGGGGCUCAACCCCGGAACUGCCUUUGAAACUAGAUAGCUUGAAUCUUGGAGAGGCGAGUGGAAUUCCGAGUGUAGAGGUGAAAUUCGUAGAUAUUCGGAAGAACACCAGUGGCGAAGGCGACUCGCUGGACAAGUAUUGACGCUGAGGUGCGAAAGCGUGGGGAGCAAACA